GACGUUCACUAACUACCACACGUCCGGUACCUCCCGAAGUUGGGUAGUUCCAUGCGACGAGGUUUGGGGGAGACAAGCUAACCUAACCUGGUUUAGGUAACUAAAUAAGAAGGUAAGAGUAGAACAAACGGGCUCCUCUGGUUGACUUAAGUACCUGAUUUAAUAAUAAAAACCAGAACACUUACGACCAGUUUAAGGAACUAAAAUAAAAUAGGUACUGAGCCCCUUAUAUUUCACGUACGACACUCGGUCUAUGUACUGUUAAUAUAAAAUAGAUAGUUACGAUUUCGAGGAAGUAGACUAGUUACGAAGAAUUAAACUUAUAUUUAAUACAUGGAUAUAAAACUUAAGACUAGUUACGAAGAAGUAAACCUAUAAAAUAUUAAGUAUCUGUCCUAACGCUGAACCAAUUAUUGUGUUAAAUUAAAAGAAUAAUACAACAAUUUCAAGAAUCCUUUUAUCCGUGUAUAGUAGCAUUAUCGAGACUACUAAGGUUUUGAUAAAUUACAAUCUAGUGACAUUCUUUCCUCAUAAAAAACAACCAGAGUCUCUUAUUCUGUUUUUACGUAAAGUUAAAGUGAUAUCAGAACAUACGUGAUGAUUAAAGUGUGUACCGUCCGAAACAUACACUUUAGGGGUCUCAACUCACUAGACUUGGAGUUGAUAACAUGUUUGGAUGUGGGUCCAUAAUACAGGAAUCGAAAAAGUAGUCCAACAGUCCAACAGUUCAGACGGUGUGUUCCACGGGGGUACCCACAUCUAAAUAGGUAACCGAUGGGUAACCUCGUAGUGAACGUCCUGAGAGACAAAUGUGUGUUUUAACUACAUCGAAAAGAUCGGAAGACACAUAUUGAUGGAAAAAAAGUAUCAACAUAGUUCAUUCCUAAUGAAAUAGGUAUGUAACAACCGUAUUUUAACUACGAGUCAGAACACCGUCUGAAACACGUAAUAUUCUGUGAACGGGGUCUAGGUUAAGCAGCUACCUCAAUCUUGUUAAGGCAUGUUGUCUCAUAAUCCAUUAAAUACAAGAUUGGUACAAUAAUAAUAACGUCUUGGUUUAUGUUUACGAAUUAGACUCGGUAAAGAGUGAGGUAAAGGAGAUCCACAGAUGGUUAAUAACAAACAGAAGAAUUCACUUACUCGACGACCAGUAUGAAAUUGGUGUGCAGUUAACGUCCUCACGCUGUCGCGGUAGGACACGGUGUUUGGUACGCUUCUUAAUACCCACCACAUUAGGAUACGAUCGAUCCCACGAUCUGUCUAAAUUAUUUGAGAAACCUCGAGUAGAAAACGGACUUUGCGAUUUUGAUUGGACUGUGUCGUCACUGAUUACUAAUUAUGUUACCUCACGUAAACUAGGUGGAAUUUUUUUAUGGAUAACCCCUUAUUCUUACUUUUCAUUAGUGGGGACAAAGACGUCACCUUAAGUUCAUAUGGUCGAGCAGAUAAAUAAACUGACAACAAUCUAACAAAAUAGGACCAGACUGCACAAUUACCUCAACAAAGUAAGGAGUGUGCUGGGGAAAGUUAACCUAGUCAAGAGGAAAACCCAAUGAGAUAUAAGGGAUGUAUAUAGAAAUAAUACAAGUAGCUCUGAAGUCUCAUUCUGUAAAUAAAAUAAGUAUCAUGGAAGUUCCAUUGUACCAUGGAUGUUGCGUCAGCCCGAUUACCAUUAGUCAAGAUUUAGAUUAGUUCACAUUCGAAGAGACAACAGACAUGACGUCGGCACUACUAGUCUUCAAGUCCUGGGGUGACAUCUGUCCUUUUUUUCUUAUUAGAACCCCUGUAGCGACUAGUUACCUGAGGUACUACUCUAUUAGCGGCCGCGGUAGAGACUAAGAUAACUACUCGCGCAUGUAUGUCGUGGCCGUCGGUGAAUCAAGUUCCUACCAUCCUAUCAUUGUUUACAAAUACCUGCUGAGGAUUAAUUUGAUCUUGUUUUUUAACGAACGUUAAAAGUAACCAACGACAACCGUCACUCCACGUACAUUAUGUAACUUUUGAACGACGAUACCCGUUUCUGUUAUACGCACAUAAACAUCCGACUCAACAAAUAACAAAUAAAACCAGCGUAGUCCGUUACACACUUGAUUCGAAAACGGUAACGACUAGCACAUAAGAGAGACACGAUCCUUCGUAUCAAAGUCGAAUAGGGGA
This 2157-nucleotide ribosomal RNA is filed under the name Triticum aestivum (bread wheat). Its description in RNAcentral is "partial small subunit ribosomal RNA". The record is from RNAcentral. Lineage: Eukaryota; Viridiplantae; Streptophyta; Magnoliopsida; Poales; Poaceae.